Molecule: ribosomal RNA, 916 nt
Filed under: Methanosarcinaceae archaeon 47aM
Lineage: Archaea; Methanobacteriati; Methanobacteriota; Methanomicrobia; Methanosarcinales; Methanosarcinaceae
Description: bacterial SSU rRNA
Rfam family: Archaeal small subunit ribosomal RNA
Source: RNAcentral
UACGGCUCAGUAACACGUGGAUAACCUGCCCUUAGGACUGGCAUAACCCCGGGAAACUGGGGAUAAUUCCGGAUAGUUCAUGGUAGCUGGAAUGCUCCAUGAUCGAAAGCUAUUGCGCCUAAGGAUGGGUCUGCGGUCUAUCAGGUAGUAGUGGGUGUAAUGUACCUACUAGCCGACGACGGAUACGGGUUGUGGGAGCAAGAGCCCGGAGAUGGAUUCUGAGACAUGAAUCCAGGCCCUACGGGGCGCAGCAGGCGCGAAAACUUUACAAUGCGGGAAACCGCGAUAAGGGGACACCGAGUGCCAGCAUCUUAUGUUGGCUGUCCGCAUGUAUAAAUCACAUGUGUUAGCAAGGGCCGGGCAAGACCGGUGCCAGCCGCCGCGGUAACACCGGCGGCCCGAGUGGUGGCCACUAUUAUUGGGUCUAAAGGGUCCGUAGCCGGUUUGGUCAGUCUUCCGGGAAAUCUGACGGCUUAACCGUUAGGCUUUCGGGGGAUACUACCAGGCUUGGGACCGGGAGAGGUAAGAGGUACUACGGGGGUAGGAGUGAAAUCUUGUAAUCCUCGUGGGACCACCAGUGGCGAAGGCGUCUUACCAGAACGGGUCCGACGGUGAGGGACGAAAGCUGGGGGCACGAACCGGAUUAGAUACCCGGGUAGUCCCAGCCGUAAACUAUGCUCGCUAGGUGUCAGGGACGGUGCGACCGUUUCUGGUGCCGCAGGGAAGCCGUGAAGCGAGCCACCUGGGAAGUACGGUCGCAAGGCUGAAACUUAAAGGAAUUGGCGGGGGAGCACUACAACGGGUGGAGCCUGCGGUUUAAUUGGACUCAACGCCGGAAAACUCACCGGGGGCGACGGCAAUAUGUAGGUCAAGACUAAAGACUUUACCAGAAUCGCUGAGAGGAGGUGCAUGGCCA